AUUGAACGCUGGCGGCAGGCCUAACACAUGCAAGUCGAGCGGAUGAAGGGAGCUUGCUCCUGGAUUCAGCGGCGGACGGGUGAGUAAUGCCUAGGAAUCUGCCUGGUAGUGGGGGAUAACGUCCGGAAACGGGCGCUAAUACCGCAUCCGUCCUGAGGGUGAAAGUGGGGGAUCUUCGGACCUCACGCUAUUAGAUGAGCCUAGGUCGGAUUAGCUAGUUGGUGGGGUAAAGGCCUACCAAGGCGACGAUCCGUAACUGGUCUGAGAGGAUGAUCAGUCACACUGGAACUGAGACACGGUCCAGACUCCUACGGGAGGCAGCAGUGGGGAAUAUUGGACAAUGGGCGAAAGCCUGAUCCAGCCAUGCCGCGUGUGUGAAGAAGGUCUUCGGAUUGUAAAGCACUUUAAGUUGGGAGGAAGGGCAGUAAGUUAAUACCUUGCUGUUUUGACGUUACCAACAGAAUAAGCACCGGCUAACUUCGUG
RNAcentral lists this ribosomal RNA (484 nucleotides) under uncultured bacterium. RNAcentral's name for it is "partial 16S ribosomal RNA". It matches the Rfam family "Bacterial small subunit ribosomal RNA", at positions 30 to 507 of the family's 1533-position model. The record is from RNAcentral.